RNAcentral lists this ribosomal RNA (469 nucleotides) under uncultured bacterium. RNAcentral's name for it is "partial 16S ribosomal RNA". It matches the Rfam family "Bacterial small subunit ribosomal RNA", at positions 28 to 507 of the family's 1533-position model. The record is from RNAcentral.
GACGAACGCUGGCGGCGUGCUUAACACAUGCAAGUCGAACGAUGAAGCACGAGCUUGCGGGGGUGGAUUAGUGGAGAACGGGGGAGUAACACGUGAGUAACCUGCCCCUCACCCUGGGAUAUGCCUGGGAAAGUGGGUCUAAUACUGGAUACGACCUAUCGCCGCAGGGAGUGCCGGCGGAAAGUUAUUGUGGUGGGGGAUGGACUCGCGGCCCAUCGGCUUGUUGGUGGGGUAUUGGCGUACCAGGCCGACGACGGGUAGCCGGCCUGAGAUGGCGACCGGACACGCUACACCUGAGCUGCGGCCCAGACUCGUAUGCUACGCAACGGUGGAGAAUAUUACACAAUGCGAGAGAGCCAGAUGUGACGAAGCCGCGUGAGGUAAGACGUGCUUCGGGUUGUGAACCACUGUCACCAUAGACGAGGCGAUCGUGACGGUACCUGGAGAAGAAGCACCGGCUAACUACGUG